AGCAAGUCCUCUGAGUUAAGAAACUCAGUUGAAACUUAAUGCCCUCUUUUCAUUAUGAUGAUCACUUCAUUAAUUGUAAGACGGAAUAACGUAAUAACUCAACUUUUCUUGAGUGUCUUCGUAAUCUCGCCAUGUGGUUAAGGUGCUUCGUCGGCCCGCGCUGAUGCUCGUAGACAUGCACGUGCAUUUUUUGCUUACCUUUGAUAAUGAAAUAAUCAACAGUUGAAUAGAUUGAAUAGGCUUUUUGGUGUUGUAUUAUACAAUGUUCUUCAGAGAUUUAUUUUCUAAAUCCAUGUUUGAAAGCAGUGAAUUGUCUACUAGGAAAACACUUUAGGCAGAGUUUGAAUGUAGCCAUAAAGCAUCCUAUAAUCAAACAUGUGGCUCAGCGCUGCUUGUUUGGGUAGGAUGUGUGUUAAUUUGGCUAAAAGGAUCAUCCAGAAAAGAAGGCAACAUUGCAGGCUGCGGAGAGAUUUAACAGGGAAUGGGAUUUUUUUGUGUGUGGUUUGUUGGUGUGCUUACAUGCUGCAGAAUGUGCUUUCAGUGUGUUCCAAGACAAAUAGACAAGGACAAGAUAAAUAAUGUCUAACAAACUGAUGCAAACUGCUUAUGAGUACUAGCUCCCUGAUUUACACUGUAAUUUUCUUAGUAUUCUCAGCCUUGGAUAAUUUAUAUCACAAUUCACAACAACAGUGAAAGGGAAUGUUAUGCAGACAUACACUAUACAGUGCCCUUCACUAAUAUUGGCACCCUUGGUAUAUAUGAGCAAAGAAGGCUGUGAAAAAUUGUCUUUAUCGCUGAACCUUUUGAUCUUUUGUUCAAUAAAUCUUCUCCUAUAACGCUGAUGAGGUUGGAGAAUACAUGGCGAGGGAUCUGAGACCGUUCCUCCGUACAGAAUCUCUCCAGAUCCUUCACAUUUCGAGGUCCACGCUGGUGGACUCUCCUCUUCAGUUCACCCCACAGGUGUUCUAUGGGGUUCAGGUCAGGGGACUGGGAUGGUCAUGGCAGGACCUUGAUGUUGUGGUCAGUAAACCAUUUCUGUGUUGAUUUUGAUGAUGUUUUGGAUCAUCGUCCUGCUGGAAGAUCCAACCACGGCCCAUUUGAAGCUUUCUGGCAGAGGCAGUCAGGUUUUCAUUUAAUAUCUGUUGAUAUUUGAUAGAGUCCAUGAUGCCAUGUAUCCUAACAAAAUGUCCAGGUCCUCUGGCAGAAAAACAGCCCAAAACAUUAAAGAUCCACCUCCAUAUUUAACCGUGGACAUGAGGUACUUUUCCAUACGGCUACCUCUCUG
Long non-coding RNA from Ictalurus punctatus (channel catfish), 1285 nucleotides. NCBI's taxonomy places the organism in Eukaryota, Metazoa, Chordata, Actinopteri, Siluriformes, Ictaluridae. The record is from Ensembl.